Molecule: ribosomal RNA, 1316 nt
Filed under: Enterococcus durans
Lineage: Bacteria; Bacillati; Bacillota; Bacilli; Lactobacillales; Enterococcaceae
Description: bacterial SSU rRNA
Rfam family: Bacterial small subunit ribosomal RNA
Source: RNAcentral
GUUUUGAUUUUGAAAAGGCCCCUUUACGGGGUUCCCAAAUAAGGAAGGGACCCCCGGGGGCCAUUUAACUAAGUUGGGAGAGGUAAACGGCCUCCACCAAAGGGGAAAGGAUCCAUAUCCGGACCUGGGAAGGGGGAUUCGGCCCACAUUGGGAAUUGAGAACCCGGUCCCAAAAUCCUUACCGGAAGGCAGCCAGUAGGGAAUCUUCCGCCAAUGGAGGAAAGUUUGGCCCGAGCCACCCCCGCCUGAGUGAAAGAAGGUUUUUCGGAUUGGUAAAACUUUUGUUGUUAGAGAAGAACCAGGGAUGAGAGUAACCGUUCAUCCCUUGACGGUAUCUAACCAGAAAGCCCACGGCUAAUUACGUGCCAGCAGCCGCGGUAAUACGUAGGUGGCAAGCGUUGUCCGGAUUUAUUGGGCGUAAAGCGAGCGCAGGCGGUUUCUUAAGUCUGAUGUGAAAGCCCCCCGGCUCAACCGGGGAGGGUCAUUGGAAACUGGGAGACUUGAGUGCAGAAGAGGAGAGUGGAAUUCCAUGUGUAGCGGUGAAAUGCGUAGAUAUAUGGAGGAACACCAGUGGCGAAGGCGGCUCUCUGGUCUGUAACUGACGCUGAGGCUCGAAAGCGUGGGGAGCAAACAGGAUUAGAUACCCUGGUAGUCCACGCCGUAAACGAUGAGUGCUAAGUGUUGGAGGGUUUCCGCCCUUCAGUGCUGCAGCUAACGCAUUAAGCACUCCGCCUGGGGAGUACGACCGCAAGGUUGAAACUCAAAGGAAUUGACGGGGGCCCGCACAAGCGGUGGAGCAUGUGGUUUAAUUCGAAGCAACGCGAAGAACCUUACCAGGUCUUGACAUCCUUUGACCACUCUAGAGAUAGAGCUUCCCCUUCGGGGGCAAAGUGACAGGUGGUGCAUGGUUGUCGUCAGCUCGUGUCGUGAGAUGUUGGGUUAAGUCCCGCAACGAGCGCAACCCUUAUUGUUAGUUGCCAUCAUUUAGUUGGGCACUCUAGCAAGACUGCCGGUGACAAACCGGAGGAAGGUGGGGAUGACGUCAAAUCAUCAUGCCCCUUAUGACCUGGGCUACACACGUGCUACAAUGGGAAGUACAACGAGUCGCAAAGUCGCGAGGCUAAGCUAAUCUCUUAAAGCUUCUCUCAGUUCGGAUUGUAGGCUGCAACUCGCCUACAUGAAGCCGGAAUCGCUAGUAAUCGCGGAUCAGCACGCCGCGGUGAAUACGUUCCCGGGCCUUGUACACACCGCCCGUCACACCACGAGAGUUUGUAACACCCGAAGUCGGUGAGGUAACCUUUGGAGCCAGCCGCCUA